UUAAGUAUUUGCUCUUUUGUCUUUAGUUUAUGUUUUAGUGGAAACUCCACCAUGACCAUUUAGAAGAUGAUUCUCAAGCUAGUGCACCUCCUCAUCGAUUUUGUCUUGUCAAGAUCCAGAGCCCUUGGGAGCAAAGGGGACACAGACUUGCAGCAGAAAUCACUGUCACAGGAAUGAAGAUUUCAACCAGAUGUGGAUCCUGUUUGAAGCAUCUAAGCUUUCCUAUGCUCAUCUUUAUGUCCACACUUCAUCUGCACAAUGGGAAUAAUUAUAUGGAGCAGAUUCAGAUUCAGAGUAGUGGUCAUCUUGAACUGCUGCCCAGCAAGUCCCCCCUCCCCAUGGACAAACUGCUGAAUACAGUGAAGCUUAAUAACCUCGAGGGGA
This is a non-coding RNA of Pogona vitticeps (central bearded dragon), 384 nucleotides long. The record is from RefSeq and is a predicted model, not a curated record. Lineage: Eukaryota; Metazoa; Chordata; Lepidosauria; Squamata; Agamidae.